This is a non-coding RNA of Acanthosepion pharaonis, 109 nucleotides long. NCBI's taxonomy places the organism in Eukaryota, Metazoa, Mollusca, Cephalopoda, Sepiida, Sepiidae. The record is from the annotation of a GenBank genome assembly.
UUACGGCCAUAUCACGUUGAAACACCGGUUCUCGUCUGAACACCGAAGUUUAGCAAAGUCGAGCUUGCUUAGUACCUAAAUGGGUAACCACUUUAGGAUAUCAUGUGCU